RNAcentral lists this unclassified non-coding RNA (253 nucleotides) under Hevea brasiliensis (rubber tree). Lineage: Eukaryota; Viridiplantae; Streptophyta; Magnoliopsida; Malpighiales; Euphorbiaceae. The record is from RNAcentral.
AAGUUGGUCCAGCAGGUGCGCAAGAUAAACGUCCGCGAUGAAGGUGCGGCCGGCGCGUUUGGUGGCGCGGAAGAUGGUAACGAAGCGAUCAAUGUUCUGCGGCGAAAAGGACGCGAGCACGAGACCCGAAGAGCCGUUGAUCAUCCCAAGGAUGCGUUGUUCAAGCUCUUGCUCGGUUUCUGGGGCGCUUGCCAUGCCAGGGCGGCUUAACGUGGUUCCUUCAAGCAGCAGGACAUCGAUUGCCUGGGGCGGA